Molecule: long non-coding RNA, 819 nt
Filed under: Strongylocentrotus purpuratus (purple sea urchin)
Lineage: Eukaryota; Metazoa; Echinodermata; Echinoidea; Camarodonta; Strongylocentrotidae
Description: uncharacterized LOC115919726
Source: RNAcentral
AAUUAGGGUGUGGUGACGAGAAUGCUUAAAGGUGUGUACGUGUGGACUUAAAUCAGGGCAGUUGACUAGAAGACGAGGUUGUAGCUGGACGUGUGAGAGGUCUUGAACAGGUACCCUUAUGUGUGUUGUGGAAGUUGCUACCAGAGCCUUGAUUUUGUAUUCGGCGCAAGCAGUCCUUUUCCUCAGGCGACACCGGUACGAGAGGUAUCCUCCAUGUAGCCCAGAACCUCGAUUUUCCUGCCAUUGGCACAAUUUUGUCAACAUAACUCCGUAAGAGCGGACAAGAACGUUCUUCACUACUAACUAGUAGCAAGCAUCGAAACGUCGAAUUAGCAUCCAAGCAUCGAAUCGUCGAAUUAGCAUCCAAGCAUCGAAUCGUCGAAUUAGCAUCCAAGCAUCGAAUCGUCGACUUAGCAUCCAAGCAUCGGAUCGUCGGAUUAGCAUCCGAGAAUCGCCGAGUCAGUAUAUCCGGGAUCUUGAAGCACGUGACCGAUUGCCGUAACAAGCGAUUACGGGACAUAAACCUUCAAGCAUCGUCUUCAAGUCUUCAAGUCUUCAAGCAUCGAAUCGUCGUAGGAACUAUGUCGGUAUUUGACCUUCUGAUAUAGCAAAUACUAAGCAAAAGGCUUUCGCCUUAUUUCGGACAAUAAAUUGUCUUAAUUUCGGACACUUUAAAACUGGGAAGUUAACUUGUACGAAUUACACUCGUGGGUAUCGGAGUAAUUAAAUGACCGUUCGUAUAUGUAAUAUUUGUGUAACAGCAGAUUUCUAUGAAUUUAGAUGUUGAUGUAGUUGUCAAUAAACAGUCUGUAGAACUCA